This is a non-coding RNA of Macaca mulatta (Rhesus monkey), 4829 nucleotides long. The record is from RefSeq and is a predicted model, not a curated record. NCBI's taxonomy places the organism in Eukaryota, Metazoa, Chordata, Mammalia, Primates, Cercopithecidae.
AAACUGAGGAGCUGCUUGCCUGCCCUUGCAGCUAAGGGUGGCUGAAUCUACCUGAGGACCUAUUAGGAUGUCUCCUCUCAGCUAAAAAUCCUGCCUUAAUAGUAUACUCAUCAAUCCAAGAUUACCUCGGUAUUUCCUGUUUUUAUUCUAUAAAACUGACUCUCCUUUCUAACACCUUUGAACCCCUGCUGAAACGAAGGUGACAGCAGGCUACCCCCUUGCUGCAAUUUUAUGGAUAAAUGACAUUUGUUUAUUUGAUCUCAGAUGCAGUGUGGUCUUUGGCACUAGAAAGUGUGACAUGGAAGAUUCCAUCACGAUGAGAAUAUGGCUUACUGAGGGUUUGCAAUGGGCCACUGAUCAGCACUUCACAUAAUCUGCACAAAGUCUCCCAUUAAGUAAGUACUCUUGCCUUCCUCAGCAUCGUCUUCCCUUUAUAGGUAAAGGAAGUAAGGUACAGAGAUGAGAAUGAGCUUGCCCGAAGUCACACAGCUGGUAACUGAUGAAAAUGGGGUUUGAAGCUAGGCAGCCUGGCUCAAGAUUCUGCACUUUUCCCUACUAUACGAGGUGGUUCUAGUACCAGGGAGGUUUUUCUUCACAUUUUUGAGGGCCCGUGGCAGUUUUUGAGUUUGUAAAUGAUGCGCGAGAAUUUAGACCUCUGAUGGACUGCUUCACCAUUCCUGAGGGAUGAUUGGGUGAGGGUGGGGAGGCUGACGGGGGUGGUCCAGACACGAAGCCCAGGCAGACGCCCCCGAACCACGGCAGCGUCCUGGUUCACAAUCUGAUGCUCUAAGCUGCAGCGGCAGCCGGGAUGGAGGCAAGUGUGAGCCAUGAGAGACCUUAUCCAGCAGGCUGACACUUUUCCAGGCUGGAGUCUUUAAUUCCAACCACAGAACUUGGAAUGACAGACGGGUAGGGCAGAUAGCAUUUUAUAGAAGAUGAAGAAACUGAGGUCAAGGGUGGGUCACUUGCCUAGAGUCACUCAGCAAACUUGUGGAACCAGAUUCCAAGGGUUCACUGGCUCUCGGUUGUGGACCUGGAGGGAAGGUAUAGCCCCAGACACAAAGCCGGAGUCCCAGGACACACCUGUUGCUUCUGCCUGUGGGGUGUCUUCUGAGCAGCUCAUGCUAUAUCCUACCUGCACCUCAUUACAACAGUUCCUGAAAGGGACACUGGAGUUAGGGUUUGAAAGCCACAUUUAUAUAAAGUGUCACUUGGUCUUCAGGACAAAUGCAAAACCUGGAUUGUGAUUUUUGUUUCGUGGAUGUGGUUUAGGGGUUAAGUGAUAAACCCAAGGAGACGCAGCUGGUAGAUGGAGCAGCUAGGUCCAGUUUUUGGCUUCGAAGUCGAGAGGGCAUUGACUGCAUGAACUGCCUUCAUUAUCCACUCACCUCAUUAAGAGCAUUGGCAAGACUGUGAAAUUGACCCUAAGCAUGUGCGUGCUUUCUUUAAAACAUAACUUGAAGGGUAAGUGUAAAGAUUCACAAUGCACUGGAAAGUGGGGGUGAGCUCUAGCAGGGCCUUUUCUGAUAUUCUGAGAGGUCAUUUAAAUCUUGUCUGGUCUGUUUCCAGGCCCUGAAAGGCACCAGGCUUGCUUUGACUGGCUGCCCUCAGAGUGUAUGAAGAUGAGAGUGUUAUUAGAAUCCAAAGUCACUCAUUGGCCAGUGCUGGUAAACUAAAACCCGAAAUGUGUGCAAAAUGCGUUUUCUCUUUGGAGAAAGUGACAUCUCAUCUGAGUGCCUCGGGCCCCUGCAGGAUGUUAUCUACUGAGAAGGAAUCACACAUGCCAGGUUAUCUGUCUUCAGGUGAUUUCUUCGAAGUGUGGCGGCACCUCCCUUGAUGACUGCUGGGGGGUAUAAUGAAUCACCCACUUGCGGGAGAAGGCUGAAGAAUUUGCUUUACCAGAGAUACAGAAGUGGAGGGAAUGCACAGGUAUUGAAGUGUGUGUGCACGCAUAUGCGAAUUUACAUGCUUUGCAUGCCCCUGUGUGCACGCAUGUGUGCAUUCGUGUGUGCACAAGUGCACUGAUGUACACACAUGUGCAUCUCCAGCCCUGCUGAGGUCUCAUGGAGGGGCGGAUCAAGACAGUUCCUUAGAGACGACUACUAGCAAGGCUUUUGUGGAGGUGGCCUGGCCCUGGGAAGCUUAGAGCAUCAGAUUGUGAAGCAACAUUUUACAUAAUGACUCUAGGAAGGAUUGUGGGGUAAUGGAAGGGAUACCGAUCCAGGAAGCAAGGCACUGAGCCCUGUCUCUGCCCCCAGCCUGCUGGGCGACUUCAGGAGACUCAUCAGCCUCCUGAGCCUCAUUUUCCCCACAUGUGAAGCUGUAAAACCCAAACUCCUUGCCAAUGUGUUCCAGGCCUGUAGUAGGUGCUGCGGUGCGUGACUCUCCUUCGGGACUGAGCCCCCUGUCUCCCAGCUGCUGGAGUGGGUGCUCCUCAGAAACAAAGAGUCCUUCAUCCAAGGUCCUCCCGUCUCUAGGGAGCAGCCAGCUGGGGACACACCCGUGCAUGUGUCAGGCCCAGUUCCUGGCCUGAUACCUCUGCAGGCCAUCCCAGCUCCAUGCUCCCUGAGGGACUGGCAGAAACCUCUCUUGUGAAUGCACGGCAGCCUGGCUUCUCUGCUAGACUUCUACUUCCCUUUGACUCCCUUUCAAACGGACAGUCCCAAGAGCACUGCCCGAUCACGCCCCUGCCUACAGACUUUCAUCUCAGGAGAUCCCAGAACAACACCCCAGUGGUCUGCGCCUCUGUGAUGGCCCCUCCUCCACCGUCCCUCACUCUCGUCAUCAAAGCACACUCCAGCCUCAGGGCCUUUGCACCUUCCUUCUGUAGAAAACCCUUCCCCCCACCCUUUGUAGAUGACUUCCUACCAUUUAAAUCUCAGCAAAAUGGUCAUGUCCUCAGUAAGGCCUUCCCUGACCACCCCAUCUAGGAUUCCUCCAUCAAUUAAUCUGAAUACAUCACUGUUUUAUUUUUUCUCAAGGCCUUUAUCACUCCCUGACAUUAGGUUUGUUAAUUAUGCAGUUGUUUAUUUUCUGUCACCCGCUCCUUUGAAAUGAAAGUUCCCUGAGCACAGGAUCUGCAGCUUGGCUCUCUGCCCCAUCCGCAGUGCCAGCAAGUGAACCUGGAACAAGGCAUCUGCCUGUUCAAAGCCACCUGGGAAAAGAAUUUACAUUGGACUUGAAGUGAGGUGCAUCAGCUGCCAAGGACACCACUAAAAUAUCAGUCUCAGCUCCAUUAUAGGUUGUGCAAGGAUGGCUCUGAAAGCCGUCUCAAAACCAUGAGGGCAGCAUGGCCCACCUGCUGAAGAUGGCACAGUGGAAAGGUGAAGUCUCAGGGCUCAGACGAGAUCGUGAGCUGGCGAAUUAACACAGGAGCCUUCUUUCCCCAAGUUCCUUGUCCUAUGAGGUUAUACCACUGACUGUUUAUGCCAUUUUUAGUUGAAGGUUCUUCUGCUUGCAGCCCCAAGCAUUCUAACCGACAUGAAAGGUCUGCUGUAGUCGUGAGCAGAUUGUGGCAGUAUAUUUUGAUAGUCUAGGUGGAGAAACCUUAGUGCAAGGGUUUCAUGAUAGCGGUUCUGCCUCUCUAAGGAUAUUCCCCUUCACUUCUGGAUUUACAGCUGUGAUCCGGAUACUGAGUACACCCUCAUCCCAGUGGUACUAUCUCAACAGGCUGCAUGGAGAGUAAUGGAAAAAGAUACCACCUUGACCAAACUGACUUUGACCCCCUGGAGCUCUCACAGUAUUUUGGGGGCUGUGAAGGGCAGACCUAUCUGUGUUUCCAUCAGGCCCCAGUUUCCUCAUUACUUUGCUCAGCUUCCAAGCUGAGAUCAUUAUUAAUUAAUACACUUAUAGUUAUUAAUAUAUGGUGACAUUAAUUAACUACAGUCUAUUAAAUGCCCCCUGUGUGUCUGGUCUGAUGCUACAUGUUGUGCUGCAUUUUCUCAUUGAUCCUCCCAAUAAGCCAAGAAGAUGAGUUUUGCUAUGCAUGUUUUACAAGAAAGAACGCAAGGUUCAGAUAAUUCAUUAAUGUGCCCAAAGGCCCCCAUUCUGAUUGGAAAUCAGCAGAGGCAGGAUAUCACCUCGCAAUUCACCCUGGUUCCACUUCUCUAAGAGGAGUUUUUGCAGAGGGAAGCAUCUGUUUUAGAUUUGCACCAGUUCUUGGCUUGUUCUGGUGAUAAAGAAGAAACAACAUUAACCUUGAUGUCAAGAACCUGGGAUUGAAUCCUGGUCAGUCUACUGAGGCGAUGCUGGGGAGAGGGGGUGUCGUGGCGUGGAUUGAUUUUUUUUUCUCCUCUGAGUCUUAGUUGUUUUUUAUUCUCUAAAAGGGAUAGUAGUCCUUAAACUCCAGGUAAUUUAUUGUCAAAGGAAAUAACAAAUGUGAAAUUGUCCAGGUACAGUACAAUAGGUACCAAAACCCUCUGUUUAGUUCAUUCAUUUAUUCACUCUUCACUCAUCCCUUAUAUCAACUUCUGGGUCUGCAAGAUGCAGCAUGUAAACACCCUGGUAGUGACCUUGAACACUCUGGUAGGAGUCAUUCUCCGUCACCUACCAGCUGUGAAAUGGUGGGCAGUGCAAGUAACCUUAGUAGGUCUCACAUUCCCUUCUGUAACAAAAGCUUUUCUUUUGUGACAGCUACACUUUCAUCAUUUUAAAUGUGUGAACUCAUUAAAUCUUCUCAAUAGCCUUCAAAGUUGGCAUAUAAUUAUCUCCUAUUACAGAUUAGGAAAUUGAAGUACAGGGAAGUUAAAAACUUGGCCGUGUCGGCCAGGCGCGGUGGCUCACACCUGUAAUCCCAGCACUUUGUGGGGCUGAGGCGGGUGGACAACAAG